RNAcentral lists this ribosomal RNA (497 nucleotides) under uncultured bacterium. RNAcentral describes it as "partial 16S ribosomal RNA". It matches the Rfam family "Bacterial small subunit ribosomal RNA", at positions 28 to 507 of the family's 1533-position model. The record is from RNAcentral.
GAUGAACGCUGGCGGCGUGCCUAAUACAUGCGAGUCGAGCGAACAGACGAGGAGCUUGCUCCUCUGACGUUAGCGGCGGACGGGUGAGUAGCACGUGGAUAACCUACCUAUAAGACUGGGAUAACUUCGGGAAACCGGAGCUAAUACCGGAUAAUAUAUUGAACCGCAUGGUUCAAUAGUGAAAGACGGUUUUGCUGUCACUUAUAGAUGGAUCCGCGCCGCAUUAGCUAGUUGGUAAGGUAACGGCUUACCAAGGCAACGAUGCGUAGCCGACCUGAGAGGGUGAUCGGCCACACUGGAACUGAGACACGGUCCAGACUCCUACGGGAGGCAGCAGUAGGGAAUCUUCCGCAAUGGGCGAAAGCCUGACGGAGCAACGCCGCGUGAGUGAUGAAGGUCUUCGGAUCGUAAAACUCUGUUAUUAGGGAAGAACAAAUGUGUAAGUAACUACGCACGUCUUGACGGUACCUAAUCAGAAAGCCACGGCUAACUACGUG